CAGUAGCCGCGGUAAUACGGAGGGGGCUAGCGUUGUUCGGAAUUACUGGGCGUAAAGCGUACGUAGGCGGCUUUGUAAGUUAGAGGUGAAAGCCUGGUGCUCAACACCAGAACUGCCUUUAAGACUGCAUCGCUUGAACGUCGGAGAGGUGAGUGGAAUUCCGAGUGUAGAGGUGAAAUUCGUAGAUAUUCGGAAGAACACCAGUGGCGAAGGCGGCUCACUGGACGACUGUUGACGCUGAGGUACGAAAGCGUGGGGAGCAAACAGGAUUAGAUACCCGCGUAGUCCCUGUCUCUUAUAA
RNAcentral lists this ribosomal RNA (301 nucleotides) under uncultured bacterium. Its description in RNAcentral is "partial 16S ribosomal RNA". It matches the Rfam family "Bacterial small subunit ribosomal RNA", at positions 509 to 809 of the family's 1533-position model. The record is from RNAcentral.